RNAcentral lists this ribosomal RNA (246 nucleotides) under uncultured eukaryote. Its description in RNAcentral is "partial small subunit ribosomal RNA". It matches the Rfam family "Eukaryotic small subunit ribosomal RNA", at positions 587 to 838 of the family's 1831-position model. The record is from RNAcentral.
AGCUCCAAUAGCGUAUAUUAAAGUUGCUGCGGUUAAAAGCUCGUAGUUGGAUUUCUGUUGAAGACGAUCGGUCCGCUCUAUGAGCGUGUAUCUGGCCCGGCUUUGGCAUCUUCGUAGGGGGCGUUACUGUGCUUGAUUGCAUGGUGCGAGACUUAUGACAUUUACUUUGAGGAAAUUAGAGUGCUCACUGCAAGCAGGCGCUUUGAAUAUAUUAGCAUGGCAUGAUGAUAUAGGACCUUGGUUUUA